AGUGAACGCUGGCGGCAGGCCUAACACAUGCAAGUCGAGCGGCAGCGCGGGGGCAACCCUGGCGGCGAGCGGCGGACGGGUGAGGAAUUCGUCAGAAUCUGCCUUUUUGUGGGGGAUAACGUAGGGAAACUUACGCUAAUACCGCAUACGUCCUACGGGAGAAAGUGGGGGACCGCAAGGCCUCACGCAGAAAGAUGAGCCGACGACCGAUUAGCUAGUUGGUGGGGUAAAGGCCCACCAAGGCGACGAUCGGUAGCUGGUCUGAGAGGAUGAUCAGCCACACUGGGACUGAGACACGGCCCAGACUCCUACGGGAGGCAGCAGUGGGGAAUAUUGGACAAUGGGCGCAAGCCUGAUCCAGCCAUGCCGCGUGUGUGAAGAAGGCCUUCGGGUUGUAAAGCACUUUUGUCCGGAAAGAAAUCCCUGGAGCUAAUACCUUCGGGGGAUGACGGUACCGGAAGAAUAAGCACCGGCUAACUUCGUG
RNAcentral lists this ribosomal RNA (484 nucleotides) under uncultured bacterium. Its description in RNAcentral is "partial 16S ribosomal RNA". It matches the Rfam family "Bacterial small subunit ribosomal RNA", at positions 29 to 507 of the family's 1533-position model. The record is from RNAcentral.